Molecule: ribosomal RNA, 355 nt
Filed under: Photorhabdus luminescens
Lineage: Bacteria; Pseudomonadati; Pseudomonadota; Gammaproteobacteria; Enterobacterales; Morganellaceae
Description: bacterial SSU rRNA
Rfam family: Bacterial small subunit ribosomal RNA
Source: RNAcentral
GAGCCGCGGCGCAUUAGCUAGUUGGUGAGUAACGGCUCACCAAGGCGACGAUGCNUAGCCGACCUGAGAGGGUGAUCGGCCACACUGGGACUGAGACAACGGCCCAGACUCCUACGGGAGGCAGCAGUAGGGAAUCUUCCGCAAUGGACGAAAGUCUGACGGAGCAACGCCGCGUGAGUGAUGAAGAGUUUUCGGAUCGUAAAACUCUGUUGUUAGGGAAGAACAAGUACCGUUCGAAUAGGGCCGGCACCUUGACGGUACCUAACCAGAAAGACCACGGCUAACUACGUGCCAGCAGCCGCGGUANUACGUAGGUGGCAANUGUUGUCCGGAAUUAUAUGGGCGCAAAGUGUGU